This 102-nucleotide non-coding RNA is filed under the name Bacillus methanolicus. RNAcentral's name for it is "Guanine sequence". It matches the Rfam family "Purine riboswitch aptamer". Rfam says of the family: Riboswitches are metabolite binding domains within certain messenger RNAs that serve as precision sensors for their corresponding targets. Allosteric rearrangement of mRNA structure is mediated by ligand binding, and this results in modulation of gene expression. The record is from RNAcentral. RNAcentral also lists the same sequence under 1 other name. Lineage: Bacteria; Bacillati; Bacillota; Bacilli; Caryophanales; Bacillaceae.
UCCUAAAAAAUUUAAUAUCCUUGUAUAAUAUCAGUUUAAAUGGUCUGAUAGUUUCUACCCCGCAGCCGAAAAUGCAGGACUACAAGGAAGUGUGCAAAAUAU